AGACAAAUAGCUCAACGAUAGAGCGUUGCUCUUACAAAGCAAAGGUUGUUGGUUUGAAUCCAAUUUUGUCUA
RNAcentral lists this transfer RNA (72 nucleotides) under Friedmanniomyces endolithicus. RNAcentral describes it as "tRNA-Val". It matches the Rfam family "tRNA". Rfam says of the family: Transfer RNA (tRNA) molecules are approximately 80 nucleotides in length. Their secondary structure includes four short double-helical elements and three loops (D, anti-codon, and T loops). Further hydrogen bonds mediate the characteristic L-shaped molecular structure. tRNAs have two regions of fundamental functional importance: the anti-codon, which is responsible for specific mRNA codon recognition, and the 3' end, to which the tRNAs corresponding amino acid is attached (by aminoacyl-tRNA synthetases). tRNAs cope with the degeneracy of the genetic code in two manners: having more than one tRNA (with a specific anti-codon) for a particular amino acid; and 'wobble' base-pairing, i.e. permitting non-standard base-pairing at the 3rd anti-codon position. The record is from RNAcentral. Lineage: Eukaryota; Fungi; Ascomycota; Dothideomycetes; Mycosphaerellales; Teratosphaeriaceae.